Molecule: ribosomal RNA, 253 nt
Filed under: uncultured bacterium
Lineage: Bacteria
Description: partial 16S ribosomal RNA
Rfam family: Bacterial small subunit ribosomal RNA
Source: RNAcentral
UACGUAGGGACCGAGCGUUGUCCGGAUUCAUUGGGCGUAAAGAGCUCGUAGGCGGCCACUCAAGUCGAAUGUGAAACCUCGAGGCUUAACCUCGAGCCUGCAUUCGAUACUGGGCGGCUAGAGUCUGGUAGGGGGAUCUGGAAUUCCUGGUGUAGCGGUGGAAUGCGCAGAUAUCAGGAGGAACACCGGUGGCGAAGGCGGGAUCCUGGGCCAGUACUGACGCUGAGGAACGAAAGCUAGGGGAGCAAACGGG